AAAGUUGGUUCGGAUCCAAUUCUGGGGCAUAUUGGUAGAUCAGGAUCUGGCUGCCCUAGAAGGUUCCAGACAUUCCCGUGACUGUGGGUGGGGCUGGACUGGGAGCCAGGACGCUGGGCCCGGCGGGAAGCCAGAUGUCCCUUUCCUGGCCCUUCUCUUCUCGGCUCACAGCUGCCCCCCGGUGGCUCCGCGGGACCUGCCGGCUGGGACAAGGGGCACAGCCGGAGGAAGCGGCCUCCCCUGCAGGUCCUGCUCAGGGUCGGGAGGGGGCAGUGCUGCCUGCAGUGGGCCAGAGCCACCUUCUGUGCCCUCACCUCCAGGCUCUGCAGUCCCAGGGAUUCGCAGUGUUAGUUGAUCUCCGGGGACACUAGUUCCCAAGAGACCCCACUGAAGGCCUGGCUGUACCAUCAUAGGCUGUGUGCCCUUGGGCAAGAACCUCUACCAUUCCUCGUUGCCUGUAUAUAAAUUGAAGGCUUUGCUCUAGAUGAAAGGCUUGGCACUGCAGCAGCCACCUUGUAUCCACGAGGCAGUAAACCUCAGCCGACAGCCACCUGCUUCAGAUGGCAGCCCAGGAAGGUGAAAAGAGACUGGGUUCUCGAUGGCAACUUCGAGUCACGACAGCCUUAGACUUCUGUGAUAUGAAAAAACAACCCUCAUAGUUGUUUAAGCCUCUGGUUUUCAGAUUUCUGUCACAGCUGAAGGGAAUCUCAAGCAGAUCCUUCCUCUGAGCAUCUGCUCUCUUCUCAAGGGGCCUUCCGGUCACAUGCUUUCCUUCAUUCCCAUUACAUUUCCGUCCAGGUUCUAAUGUCCUAGGGAUAUUGUAGCACGCCUCUGCCUGGCCUAACUUCAACCUCCCUCUGGAUGUGAGAGGCAGACCUCACUGUAGGAAGAGGGUGAAGGAAGGGUGUCGAAUAAUGCAUAAGGAACCAAGGACUAAUAUCCAUAUAUACAGACCCAAACAUCAGGUGACACUGAGCGUGUGCAUCCACAGCUUCUCACACCUGCCUUGUCUGGUAGACACCAGCUCUGGAUCCCCAGACCUCUCACCUGAGCUCUAGGGCAAACGCUUCCCGACAUCCCCCGUGGCGGGCAGCGAGGCCGGGAUGGUGUGGAGCUGCGCACUUCCAGCUUCUGGGAUGCAAGGCCCUGUCACCACUCGAUUUCCAGGUGUCUGCUUCACAGUGAUCUGUUAAACUGCCAUAUGUGUUUUAUGCACCUUCCUGGGUUGUGCUACAGCUGA
This 1240-nucleotide long non-coding RNA is filed under the name Homo sapiens (human). RNAcentral describes it as "HSALNT0181920". The record is from RNAcentral. Lineage: Eukaryota; Metazoa; Chordata; Mammalia; Primates; Hominidae.